RNAcentral lists this ribosomal RNA (440 nucleotides) under uncultured bacterium. RNAcentral describes it as "partial 16S ribosomal RNA". It matches the Rfam family "Bacterial small subunit ribosomal RNA", at positions 338 to 795 of the family's 1533-position model. The record is from RNAcentral.
CCUACGGGAGGCAGCAGUGGGGAAUAUUGCACAAUGGGGGAAACCCUGAUGCAGCGACGCCGCGUGAGUGAUGAAGGUUUUCGGUAUGUAAAGCUCUAUUAUUAGGGAAGAAAAUGACGGUAACUGACUAAGAAGCUCCGGCUAACUACGUGCCAGCAGCCGCGGUAAUACGGAGGGGGCAAGCGUUAUCCGGAUUUACUGGGCGUAAAGGGAGCGUAGACGGGAGCGCAAGUCUGAAGUGAAAUGCCAGGGCUUAACCUUGGAACUGCAUUGGAAACUGUGCAGCUAGAGUGCAGGAGAGGUAAGUGGAAUUCCUAGUGUAGCGGUGAAAUGCGUAGAGAUAAGGAGGAACACCAGUGGCGAAGGCGACUUACUGGACUGUAACUGACGUUGAGGCGCGAAAGCGUGGGGAGCAAACAGGAUUAGAUACCCCAGUAGUC